Molecule: ribosomal RNA, 241 nt
Filed under: Paenibacillus agri
Lineage: Bacteria; Bacillati; Bacillota; Bacilli; Caryophanales; Paenibacillaceae
Description: Bacterial small subunit ribosomal RNA
Rfam family: Bacterial small subunit ribosomal RNA
Source: Rfam by way of RNAcentral
UUAGGUGCCCUUCGGGGAAAGUUGAGACAGGUGGUGCAUGGUUGUCGUCAGCUCGUGUCGUGAGAUGUUGGGUUAAGUCCCGCAACGAGCGCAACCCUUGACUUUAGUUGCCAGCAGGUAAAGCUGGGCACUCUAGAGUGACUGCCGGUGACAAACCGGAGGAAGGUGGGGAUGACGUCAAAUCAUCAUGCCCCUUAUGACCUGGGCUACACACGUACUACAAUGGCCGGUACAACGGGAA